RNAcentral lists this long non-coding RNA (944 nucleotides) under Cucumis sativus (cucumber). Its description in RNAcentral is "long non-coding RNA (CSAT_LNC002805)". The record is from RNAcentral. Lineage: Eukaryota; Viridiplantae; Streptophyta; Magnoliopsida; Cucurbitales; Cucurbitaceae.
CACGACCAAGUAUCACAUUCUACCCAAAUGAUGGAAGCAAGGACAAGCUUUUUACUAAAGAUAUUGAGCCACGACCAAGUGCCACAUUCUACCCAAAUGAUGAGAGCAAGGACAGGUUUUUUACUAAAGAUAUUGAGCCACGACCAAGUCUCACAUUCUACCCAAAUGAUGAUACCAAGAACAAGCUUUUUACUAAAGAUAUUGAGCCACGACCAAGUGCCACAUUCUACCCAAAUGAUGAGAGCAAGGACAAGUUUUUUAUUAAAGAUAUUGAGCCACGACCAAGUGCCACAUUCUACCCAAAUGAUGGAAGCAAGGACAAGCUUUUUACUAAAGAUAUUGAGCCACGACCAAGUCUCACAUUCUACCCAAAUGAUGAUACCAAGAACAAGCUUUUUACUAAAGAUAUUGAGCCACGACCAAGUGCCACAUUCUACCCAAAUGAUGAGAGCAAGGACAGGUUUUUUACUAAAGAUAUUGAGCCACGACCAAGUCUCACAUUCUACCCAAAUGAUGAUACCAAGAACAAGCUUUUUACUAAAGAUAUUGAGCCACGACCAAGUGCCACAUUCUACCCAAAUGAUGAGAGCAAGGACAAGUUUUUUAUUAAAGAUAUUGAGCCACGACCAAGUGCCACAUUCUACCCAAAUGAUGAUACCAAGAACAAGCUUUUUACUAAAGAUAUUGAGCCACGACCAAGUGCCACAUUCUACCCAAAUGAUGAGAGCAAGGACAGGUUUUUUACUAAAGAUAUUGAGCCACGACCAAGUGCCACAUUCUAUCCAAAUGAUGAUACUAAGAACAAGCUUUUUACUAAAGAUAUUGAGCCACGACCAAGUGCCACAUUCUACCCAAAUGAUGAUGCAAACAAAAAGUUUUUUACUAAAGAUAUUGAGCCGCGACCAAGUGUCACAUUCUACCCAAAUAAUGAUAGCAAGAACAAG